UUCCCCUAGUAACUGCGAGUGAAGCGGGAAAAGCUCAAAUUUAAAAUCUGGCGGUCUUUGGCCGUCCGAGUUGUAAUCUAGAGAAGUGUUAUCCGCGCUGGACCGUGUACAAGUCUCCUGGAAUGGAGCGUCAUAGAGGGUGAGAAUCCCGUCUUUGACACGGACUGCCAGGGCUUUGUGAUGCGCUCUCAAAGAGUCGAGUUGUUUGGGAAUGCAGCUCAAAAUGGGUGGUAAAUUCCAUCUAAAGCUAAAUAUUGGCGAGAGACCGAUAGCGAACAAGUACCGUGAGGGAAAGAUGAAAAGAACUUUGGAAAGAGAGUUAAACAGUACGUGAAAUUGCUGAAAGGGAAACGCUUGAAGUCAGUCGCGUUGGCCGGGAAUCAACCUUGCUUUUGCUGGGCGUACUUUCCGGUUGACGGGUCAACAUCAAUUUUGACCGUUGGAUAAAGGCUGAGGGAAUGUGGCUUCUUCGGGAGUGUUAUAGCCCUUGGUCGCAUACAACGGUUGGGAUUGAGGAACUCAGCACGCCGCAAGGCCGGGUACUUGUACCACGUUCGUGCUUAGGAUGUUGGCAUAAUGGCUUUAAUCGACCCGUCUUGAAACACGGACCAAGGAGUCUAACAUGCCUGCGAGUGUUUGGGUGGAAAACCCGAGCGCGUAAUGAAAGUGAAAGUUGAGAUCCCUGUCGUGGGGAGCAUCGACGCCCGGACCAGAACUUUUGGGACGGAUCCGCGGUAGAGCAUGUAUGUUGGGACCCGAAAGAUGGUGAACUAUGCCUGAAUAGGGUGAAGCCAGAGGAAACUCUGGUGGAGGCUCGUAGCGAUUCUGACGUGCAAAUCGAUCGUCAAAUUUGGGUAUAGGGGCGAAAG
RNAcentral lists this ribosomal RNA (869 nucleotides) under Psilocybe cubensis. RNAcentral describes it as "LSU rRNA". It matches the Rfam family "Eukaryotic large subunit ribosomal RNA", at positions 75 to 929 of the family's 3401-position model. Lineage: Eukaryota; Fungi; Basidiomycota; Agaricomycetes; Agaricales; Agrocybaceae. The record is from RNAcentral.